This 380-nucleotide ribosomal RNA is filed under the name uncultured cyanobacterium. RNAcentral describes it as "bacterial SSU rRNA". It matches the Rfam family "Bacterial small subunit ribosomal RNA", at positions 376 to 770 of the family's 1533-position model. Lineage: Bacteria; Bacillati; Cyanobacteriota. The record is from RNAcentral.
CGCAAGCCUGACGGAGCAACGCCGCGUGAGGGAGGAAGGCCUGUGGGUUGUAAACCUCUUUUCUCAAGGAAGAACACAAUGACGGUACUUGAGGAAUCAGCAUCGGCUAACUCCGUGCCAGCAGCCGCGGUAAGACGGAGGAUGCAAGCGUUAUCCGGAAUUAUUGGGCGUAAAGCGUCCGUAGGUGGCUUAGAAAGUCUGUUGUUAAAUCCCACAGCUCAACUGUGGAUCGGCAAUGGAAACUACUAGGCUUGAGUGUGGUAGGGGUAGAGGGAAUUCCUAGUGUAGCGGUGAAAUGCGUAGAUAUUAGGAAGAACACCAGUGGCGAAGGCGCUCAACUGGGCCAUAACUGACACUCAGGGACGAAAGCUAGGGUAGCG